GUAGGUGGCAAGCGUUGUCCGGAAUUAUUGGGCGUAAAGCGCGCGCAGGUGGUUCUUUAAGUCUGAUGUGAAAGCCCCCGGCUCAACCGGGGAGGGUCAUUGGAAACUGGGGAACUUGAGUGCAGGAGAGGAAAGUGGAAUUCCACGUGUAGCGGUGAAAUGCGUAGAUAUGUGGAGGAACACCAGUGGCGAAGGCGACUUUCUGGCCUGUAACUGACACUGAGGCGCGAAAGCGUGGGGAGCAAACAGGAUUAGAUACCCUGGUAGUCCACGCCGUAAACGAUGAGUGCUAAGUGUUGGGGGGGUUUCCCACCCCCCUCAGUGCUGCAGCUAACGCAUUAAGCACUCCGCCUGGGGAGUACGGUCGCAAGACUG
Molecule: ribosomal RNA, 375 nt
Filed under: uncultured organism
Description: partial 16S ribosomal RNA
Rfam family: Bacterial small subunit ribosomal RNA
Source: RNAcentral